Molecule: long non-coding RNA, 1377 nt
Filed under: Piliocolobus tephrosceles (Ugandan red Colobus)
Lineage: Eukaryota; Metazoa; Chordata; Mammalia; Primates; Cercopithecidae
Description: lncRNA (ENSPTEG00000002520.1)
Source: RNAcentral
AAUCAGCUAUUUUUGCGUUAUAUAAAGCAGCUGAUGCAGUAGAUAAAGCAAUCAAUUUGAAAUAUAAGGAAAGUUUAGAAACAGAGGGAAGCGAAACUCUUAGUGCUGUAUCUAUUGCAAAUGAGAUUAUAGAAUUAAAAAAUGUAGUGUAUACAACACUUAAGAACAUUCAGGAUCUUGAAAAUAUAGCAAAAAUAGGAGCUGGUAUUACAGAAAAACCAAAAGAAAAUAAUAAUGAAAACGAUAUAAUCAAGGAUGAUAAUACAGAACAACAGCAUCUUAGAGGACUUGAACAAGAUGAUGAUAAACAUAAGAAACAUACUAGUUCUAAAAAAUCGGCUAUAUCUAUACAAAUUGAAAAGGCAGAACAAGAAGCUAAAAAGGUAAUUGAAACAGCCAAAAACAUAGAGGAUGAAUUACAUAAUGCACAUGAAGGAGAGAUGUAUGGUGACGCUGUUAAAGCAACAGAAGCAGCUAUUAGAGGUGACGCAUACUUAAAGAAAAUGAAUGAACACUUAAAAAAAGCAUUAUAUCAUGUAAAACUCGCUGAAAUAUAUAGCGAUUUAGUAGAUGAAGCACAUAAACAAGCAAAUGAAACUUUAACAUUUGCUAAUUUUACAAAAACAAUUGCUGUAAAUCUUGAAAGUGCGAUAGAAGGCAAAAUUGAUGACGCUAUUGAUUUAGUAAAAGAGUUUACUGAGAUUGCAAAAAAUGCCGCAAAUGAUAGCCAACUAGCUGCAGAAGCUGCUAAAGUUGCAUACAACGUUGAUGAUAUAUUUAUAUAUACACACAGUUCUAUACACGCAGCUAAUAAAGCUAUUACUGCUUAUACUAAAGUAGGCCAUAUUGCAAAAGCAGCUAUAAAACUAGUUAAAUUAUCUGUAAGUAAAGAAAUGGUUGAAAAAAUGAAAGAAUUAAUGGAAUUUGUAGUUACAGCUAAAGCAUAUAGAGAUGUGGCUAAAAAUUUUGCUAAACAUGCAAUACAAAUUGCAGAAACACAUAAAAUAAAACCGGACGUAGUUCUUAUAGAGAGCAGCGACAAUAAACAUAAUAUACAAAAAAAAAAAGAUGGUAAAAAUUCAGUACAUACCAAUAAUAGAAUGUUAGCGGAAAAAGAAGUUGAAGAAGAAGUUAAAGAAGAAGUUAAAGAAGAAGUUAAAGAAGAAGUUGAAGAAGCAGUUGAAGAAGAAGUUAAAGAAGAAGUUAAAGAAGUAGUUGAAGAAGAAGUUAAAGAAGCAGUUGAAGAAGAAGUUAAAGAAGUAGUUAAAGAAGAAGUUAAAGAAGCAGUUGAAGAAGAAGUUAAAGAAGAAGUUAAAGAAGAAGUUGAAGAAGAAGUUGAAGAAGCAGUUGAAGAAGCAGUUGAAGAAGAAGUUAAAG